CCUGGAGGGGCCCCGAUAGACUCGGCCGGGUGGACGGCUCCUAGAUCUCCCGGCCCCGUGCAAAACCUUGGGGUUAAACACUCUCUUAAGGUUGGCCUGAGCCUUAUCUAAAGUGGUAAAAGUUUUGACAAAAGCCCCGAUGUCCUUGACAAAGGACUCUCCAAAUAACAUCCCCUGGGCUGUGGGUCCAGGUUCUCUAUUUGCCAAAUUAAUCAACUUAGGUUCAAUCUUAAGUAAAAUUGAUUUACGGCGUUCCGCCCAGAUGGCUGUGCUGGCAAUACCCAACAAGCAGAUAAGCCGUUGGACCCAUCCGAUGGCUACAUCGAAAUCAAUGGUGGACUCUCCCGCCUUAGCGGAUUCGAGUAAUUCACAUAAUUUCGUGGUUGGCCCCAGGGUGUCUAGUAUUUUGUCUUGACAGCUGUGGAGUGAGAACUCCAGCCCCUUCUUGGGAUUCCAGACAGAUUUUGAGAGGAACUGGGCAAUAUGUGGGUCCACCAUGGGGGUUUUGCAGGCCAUGUCUGGUACGGAGGGUCUGGGACACUCUGCUCGUGGUUUAUUCCUACUCUCGUUAGAGAGAGGGGUACGCAGAUGGAGCGCCAAAUACUGCGCAAUGUGCGUUGGCGGGUCCCACUCCGCCGAGCGAGGGUGGCGGAGGUUGUCCGGGUCGAACAGGGGAUACCCCUGAGGGUCCCGAACACCAUCCUCCACACCCGUCGGUUCCACUACAGGACUAGACUCCUCAUCCGAGUCGGAAGCCAUAUCAUUGUAAAUAUAAUCCGGGUCAUCUGACCCCAUCUCCUCACUAUGGUCAGAAUCUGACUCUUCGUAUUGGGCACGUGCCCGUUUCCAAUUUCUGGCCGCUUGCGCCCGACCAGUGGCUCUUGUGCGUGGCAACACGCCAUCUGGGACCGCCAUAGGCGGGUCAGUCAUGGCAGGGGAGACCUGCAUCAGUGGGAGCGUUGAUGUAUGCUUAGUUUUGGCCUUUGCCUUGCGGGCCGCAGGGACUGGUACAUCAGUUUGGGCCGUUAUAGUAGGUUGCACUUCAGGGGGUAACAUGAGUGCCUGGGCCAGGGAAUGGGAUAGGGAGGUGGACACAGACCCCAUGGCUGAAGCCAAGGCUCGCUGGACCGAACCGGCCAUAGUUGAUUCCAGGAGAGACUGGAAUUCCUGAGAGGGUAAAUGACCCGGGUCUAGGCCAGGGGUGGUUAAGGUAUUCUCUAUAUUAGGGCAUCCCGGGCCCCCAUGUCCAUCUCCGUGAUUUUGCAUUUUAUUAUCCAAAUCACUGAUAACAGAAUGCCCACAAAUGGGAAUGACUGAAUAGGUGUGCUAGGCAGGGAGCAACAGAUCUGGAUAAAUAAACACAGGUUUUUUUUUUGUUUUUUUUUUAGUAACUCUCAGUAAUUUCUUUUUUUUAGAAUUGGGAGAGAUGCCUUUAAAUCAACCCAGAAACAAACUCCCAGCACACAGCCAGUUAAAGACUAAAGUGCAGAAAAAAAAUUGUACAGGGGAAACAAACAAGCAAAGAAACAGUAAAGGCUAUAAGAAGAGUAGUGAGAAGGGUUGAUUAACCCUAAAAAGCAAGAUAGGGGAAAAUAUAAACAUACAACCUUGCCCCCCCGAAGGACAGCAGGAGCAACUAGGAGCCGUUCAGCCUUCCCGCGCUUCAGAGAAGAAAGCGCGCCGAAGGCAAACUUGCUCCACCCCCCCCUCCAGUAAUGGCCGCGAGGAGAGAACUCCUCGCGGCCCCAGACCGCCGGACUUAAGUAAACCCGGCGGGGAAUAGAGUGAGACAGAGCUGCUCGGCACCCACUGGGAUUUCUAAGCGGGUGCCGGCAACUACACAGAAGGGAGGGCACUAGUGAGACCGCAGACGCGUGGGCGGUGCGGUCUCACAGCCUGUCAGACCCCUCUCAGCCCUGGCAGUUAGUGAAAGCCAGGGAGAGAGGGAAAAAUGUCUGAAGCUAAGCCCAACAGUGUAGGAAAAACACUGCAAUACUGACCCCUGAAACAGGGACAACAGUUAAAGACAAUCAAACAUCAAACAGUUAAAACAACCAACAUUUAAAGUGAUAUAAACAAAAAAUAUGUGUGCAAUGAAAAAUUAAGAGUACAGAAAAAAGUCACUUAUCUGACCUGAGGAGCAGCAAGAAAGA
This 2153-nucleotide long non-coding RNA is filed under the name Pelobates cultripes (western spadefoot toad). The record is from RNAcentral. Lineage: Eukaryota; Metazoa; Chordata; Amphibia; Anura; Pelobatidae.